This 480-nucleotide ribosomal RNA is filed under the name uncultured bacterium. RNAcentral describes it as "bacterial SSU rRNA". It matches the Rfam family "Bacterial small subunit ribosomal RNA", at positions 28 to 507 of the family's 1533-position model. The record is from RNAcentral.
GAUGAACGCUGGCGGCGUGCUUAACACAUGCAAGUCGAGCGAGAUUUCUUAAGAUUAAUCUUCGGAAGCGUCUUGAGAAUGAAAGCGGCGGACGGGUGAGUAACACGUGGGCAACCUGCCUCAUACAGAGGGAUAGCUCCGGGAAACCGGAAUUAAUACCUCAUAAUACUUUGUAUUGCAUGAUACAGAGGUCAAAGAUUUAUCGGUAUGAGAUGGGCCCGCGUCUGAUUAGCUAGUUGGUGAGGUAACGGCCCACCAAGGCAACGAUCAGUAGCCGACCUGAGAGGGUGAUCGGCCACACUGGAACUGAGACACGGUCCAGACUCCUACGGGAGGCAGCAGUGGGGAAUAUUGCACAAUGGGCGCAAGCCUGAUGCAGCAACGCCGCGUGAGCGAUGAAGGUCUUCGGAUUGUAAAGCUCUGUCCUAAGGGAAGAAAAAAAUGACGGUACCUUAGGAGGAAGCCCCGGCUAACUACGUG